This 450-nucleotide ribosomal RNA is filed under the name uncultured bacterium. Its description in RNAcentral is "bacterial SSU rRNA". It matches the Rfam family "Bacterial small subunit ribosomal RNA", at positions 29 to 524 of the family's 1533-position model. The record is from RNAcentral.
AACGAACGCUGGCGGCAUGCCUAACACAUGCAAGUCGAACGAGACCUUCGGGUCUAGUGGCGCACGGGUGCGUAACGCGUGGGAAUCUGCCCUUCGGUUCGGAACAACAGUUAGAAAUGACUGCUAAUACCGGAUAAUGACGUAAGUCCAAAGAUUUAUCGCCGAAGGAUGAGCCCGCGUAAGAUUAGGUAGUUGGUGGGGUAAUGGCCUACCAAGCCGACGAUCUUUAGCUGGUCUGAGAGGAUGAUCAGCCACACUGGGACUGAGACACGGCCCAGACUCCUACGGGAGGCAGCAGUGGGGAAUAUUGGACAAUGGGCGAAAGCCUGAUCCAGCAAUGCCGCGUGAGUGAUGAAGGCCUUAGGGUUGUAAAGCUCUUUUACCAGGGAUGAUAAUGACAGUACCUGGAGAAUAAGCUCCGGCUAACUCCGUGCCAGCAGCCGCGGUAAU